UUUUCUACAGGCCUUUGGAAGAGGUGGGGUUGGUGGCCACAGGCCCAGAGGGUGGGUACCCUGACUGGGAAGAUCCAAAAUGGCAGGAGAUGGGCACCAGGAGGCCAGCAUCACCCUGGGCAGCGAGGAAGGUGCAGGAGGCAGGAAGUGAGAAGAAGACCCCCUGGCCGGGCCAAGGGGUCCCCACGUGUGGUCGCCAGGCACCAUUAUGAUCACUCUUGACGGAGACUCUCACGGCUUCUCAAACAACUGCCUUUAAUGUGCUUUCAAAAGUCUCUCGCUCUCUUGCACGCUCUCUCUGACUCAUCUUUUUCUGCAAUAACCUCAUUAAAAGAAUUUGAAAAUGGA
Long non-coding RNA from Hyaena hyaena (striped hyena), 348 nucleotides. RefSeq lists it as uncharacterized. The transcript has 2 exons. Lineage: Eukaryota; Metazoa; Chordata; Mammalia; Carnivora; Hyaenidae. The record is from RefSeq and is a predicted model, not a curated record.